AGUGAACGCUGGCGGUAGGCCUAACACAUGCAAGUCGAACGGCAGCACAGUAAGAGCUUGCUCUUACGGGUGGCGAGUGGCGGACGGGUGAGGAAUACAUCGGAAUCUACUUUUUCGUGGGGGAUAACGUAGGGAAACUUACGCUAAUACCGCAUACGACCUACGGGCGAAAGCAGGGGAUCUUCGGACCUUGCGCGAUUGAAUGAGCCGAUGUCGGAUUAGCUAGUUGGCGGGGUAAAGGCCCACCAAGGCGACGAUCCGUAGCUGGUCUGAGAGGAUGAUCAGCCACACUGGAACUGAGACACGGUCCAGACUCCUACGGGAGGCAGCAGUGGGGAAUAUUGGACAAAGGGCGCAAGCCUGAUCCAGCCAUACCGCGUGGGUGAAGAAGGCCUUCGGGUUGUAAAGCCCUUUUGUUGGGAAAGAAAAGCAGCAGGUUAAUACCCCGCUGUUCUGACGGUACCCAAAGAAUAAGCACCGGCUAACUUCGUG
RNAcentral lists this ribosomal RNA (492 nucleotides) under uncultured bacterium. Its description in RNAcentral is "partial 16S ribosomal RNA". It matches the Rfam family "Bacterial small subunit ribosomal RNA", at positions 29 to 507 of the family's 1533-position model. The record is from RNAcentral.